Long non-coding RNA from Cebus imitator (Panamanian white-faced capuchin), 892 nucleotides. RefSeq lists it as uncharacterized. The transcript is spliced from 3 exons. Lineage: Eukaryota; Metazoa; Chordata; Mammalia; Primates; Cebidae. The record is from RefSeq and is a predicted model, not a curated record.
CUUUCCGCUAAAUCAUCUGGGCUGUCAGUCAAGGACUCAGCAAACACAUUAUUUGGCCAUGUUUAAAUGAAACAUAUGGGUGACAUGCUAAAUUCAUAACUGAAAUGACUGAAAAUGUGCAAAUAUCAAGGUUACCUGGGUCUGCUGGUCACUUCUAGUUUUUGGACUCUUGAAGAUGGUCUCUGUGACUCUGUCCUGGGUGAAAAGCAAGCAAAUAAGAGACCAACGACUUGGAUUAAAAUCAAAAUGAGAAGUAGAAAGAGUACCUAGUGUCUUAAAGAUGCGCGCCCUGCCUAGCCUCCAAAGUGCUUGCCAUUCUAGAAGCCUUCAGGCCCCCAGCCUGAUUCGGAAGGCAUCCUGGAAUGAACCCACUGCAUAGGAGAGGGCAAGGUGAGACCUGGGGGCUGGGGUGGGAGCCCAGCAGGAGGAUGAGAAGGUUCUCAUUCCACUUUGUAGUGCUGGUCACUGUCAGAUUGGCAUCUACCGCCACACCCCCGGCUACAGAGUAGGUGGAAGACCCACAACCAGCCUGAAUUUGAAGUAGAGACAUAUACCAGGAAAAAAGUGAAGAAUGAUGCCCUGUGUAAGUGGGAUGUAGCUAAGGCUCAGAAGAAAUUUCCUCAGCAAGAGGAAAGGAAACACUGACUUCCCCCAACCCAAGCUAUGAGUCAAAAUUGAUGGAGACACCAAUGACAUCCACAUUUUCUCUUAAAGUCUCUUACUUCUAAUUCCCCAAAUUUCUCUUUGUGGCUUAUAUUUUGGGCUAGAAAUGGAAGCAGAAAGGAAAGGCUAGGAAGGAAUUAGCGGUGGAAAGAGCAAGAGAAAUAAUAAUGCCUGGGUACACAGUUGGUGCUGAGGACAUGCUAGGUGAAGGAAUGAGAGGGAAAAGAGA